CGAACGCUGGCGGCGUGCUUAACACAUGCAAGUCGAGCGAUGAAGCACCUUCGGGUGUGAAUUAGCGGCGAACGGGUGAGGAACACGUGAGAAAUCUGCCUUCAACACUGGGAUAACUCCGGGAAACCGGGGCUAAUACCGGAUAUGAAAUCUGCGGGCAUACCGCGGAUUUGGAAAGUUUUUCGGUUGAACGAUGAUCUCGCGGCCUAUCAGCUUGUUGGUGAGGUAAUGGCUCACCAAGGCGACGACGGGUAGCCGGCCUGAGAGGGCGACCGGCCACACUGGGACUGAGACACGGCCCAGACUCCUACGGGAGGGCAGCAGUGGGGAAUAUUGGGCAAUGGGAGGAAACUCUGGACCCAGCGACGCCGCGUGCGG
This 378-nucleotide ribosomal RNA is filed under the name uncultured Micrococcineae bacterium. RNAcentral's name for it is "bacterial SSU rRNA". It matches the Rfam family "Bacterial small subunit ribosomal RNA", at positions 30 to 406 of the family's 1533-position model. The record is from RNAcentral. Lineage: Bacteria; Bacillati; Actinomycetota; Actinomycetes; Micrococcales.